GACAGAGGGUGCAAACGUUGUUCGGAAUUAUUGGGCGUAAAGCGCGUGUAGGCGGCAUGGCAAGUCGGGUGUGAAAGCCCUCAGCUUAACUGAGGAAGUGCGCCCGAAACUGCUGUGCUUGAGUACCGGAGAGGAUGGCGGAAUGCCCCAAGUAGAGGUGAAAUUCGUAGAUAUGGGGCGGAACACCGGUGGCGAAGGCGGCCAUCUGGACGGAUACUGACGCUGAGACGCGAAAGCGUGGGUAGCAAACAGG
This 253-nucleotide ribosomal RNA is filed under the name uncultured bacterium. RNAcentral's name for it is "partial 16S ribosomal RNA". It matches the Rfam family "Bacterial small subunit ribosomal RNA", at positions 524 to 776 of the family's 1533-position model. The record is from RNAcentral.